This 253-nucleotide ribosomal RNA is filed under the name uncultured bacterium. RNAcentral's name for it is "partial 16S ribosomal RNA". It matches the Rfam family "Bacterial small subunit ribosomal RNA", at positions 524 to 776 of the family's 1533-position model. The record is from RNAcentral.
UACGUAGGGUGCGAGCGUUGUCCGGAAUUAUUGGGCGUAAAGAGCUCGUAGGCGGUCUGUCGCGUCGAAUGUGAAAACCCGGGGCUCAACUCCGGGCUUGCAUUCGAUACGGGCAGGCUAGAGUUCGGUAGGGGAGACUGGAAUUCCUGGUGUAGCGGUGAAAUGCGCAGAUAUCAGGAGGAACACCGGUGGCGAAGGCGGGUCUCUGGGCCGAAACUGACGCUGAGGAGCGAAAGCGUGGGGAGCAAACAGG